Non-coding RNA from Cinara cedri, 211 nucleotides. The record is from the annotation of a GenBank genome assembly. Lineage: Eukaryota; Metazoa; Arthropoda; Insecta; Hemiptera; Aphididae.
AAACUUAGAAUGAUUUCUAUAAUUAUGAUUUCAUAACGAUAUUUAGUUUCUUAACGAAUGUGAUAAAUGCGUUCGGAAAAUAUUGCUUAGCCCUAGAUUAAGUGGAACGAUGUUAUACUGAUUAAAAUACGAUUUUAAAUAAUGAUACAUUCAGCAAAUUUAUAACUACUGUUGAUACUGAGGAAGAAUCGAUCAAUUUUAAGGCCAAGCG